RNAcentral lists this ribosomal RNA (440 nucleotides) under uncultured bacterium. RNAcentral describes it as "partial 16S ribosomal RNA". It matches the Rfam family "Bacterial small subunit ribosomal RNA", at positions 338 to 795 of the family's 1533-position model. The record is from RNAcentral.
CCUACGGGAGGCAGCAGUAGGGAAUAUUGCUCAAUGGGGGAAACCCUGAAGCAGCAACGCCGCGUGGAGGAUGAAGGUUUUCGGAUUGUAAACUCCUUUUGUUAGAGAAGAUAAUGACGGUAUCUAACGAAUAAGCACCGGCUAACUCCGUGCCAGCAGCCGCGGUAAUACGGCGGGUGCAAGCGUUACUCGGAAUCACUGGGCGUAAAGAGCGCGUAGGCGGGAUAGCAAGUCAGAUGUGAAAUCCUAUGGCUUAACCAUAGAACUGCAUUUGAAACUAUUAUUCUAGAGUGUGGGAGAGGUAGGUGGAAUUCUUGGUGUAGGGGUAGAAUCCGUAGAGAUCAAGAGGAAUACUCAUUGCGAAGGCGACCUGCUAGAACAUAACUGACGCUGAUGCGCGAAAGCGUGGGGAGCAAACAGGAUUAGAUACCCUUGUAGUC